GGCGGUUCUCGGGUGAUGCACUCUGGAAUCAGGACCCCUCCUCUCUGGUUCCGGAUACAUUACUUGCGAACCACA
Non-coding RNA from Myotis brandtii (Brandt's bat), 75 nucleotides. The record is from Rfam. NCBI's taxonomy places the organism in Eukaryota, Metazoa, Chordata, Mammalia, Chiroptera, Vespertilionidae.